RNAcentral lists this ribosomal RNA (253 nucleotides) under uncultured bacterium. Its description in RNAcentral is "partial 16S ribosomal RNA". It matches the Rfam family "Bacterial small subunit ribosomal RNA", at positions 524 to 776 of the family's 1533-position model. The record is from RNAcentral.
UACGGGGGGGGCAAGCGUUGUUCGGAAUUACUGGGCGUAAAGCGCACGUAGGUGGCGACGUAAGUCGGGUGUGAAAGCCCCGGGCUCAACCUGGGAAUUGCAUUCGAGACUGCAUUGCUGGAGUACGGAAGAGGAGGGCGGAAUUCCCGGUGUAGCGGUGAAAUGCGUAGAUAUCGGGAGGAACAUCAGUGGCGAAGGCGGCCCUCUGGUCCAGUACUGACACUCAAGUGCGAAAGCGUGGGGAGCAAACAGG